RNAcentral lists this long non-coding RNA (549 nucleotides) under Capsicum annuum. Its description in RNAcentral is "long non-coding RNA (CANN_LNC003296)". The record is from RNAcentral. Lineage: Eukaryota; Viridiplantae; Streptophyta; Magnoliopsida; Solanales; Solanaceae.
GAUGAUUUAUGAUGAUUUAUCAUAAUUUAUGAUUUUUGAUGAUUUACAUGGAUUAUGAGAUUUUACCAUUUGAACUAUUUAUUAUGAAAGUAUGAAGAGUAUGAUUUGAUAUAACUCAAGCCAAGUGAGUCAUCAUUGUUUGUAUGCAUGUUUUCAUGAAAUUGAUGAUAUUAUUUAAAGUGUUGCAUGCACCCCCACAUACUCAGUACAUUCUCUUUGUGCUGACCCCCAUCUAUUACUAUUGUAUUCAGUUGCAGCAUCUGGUCAGCAGGUAAAAGAGUCCUUAUAGUUCAAGGUCUUGUGUUGGUUGUUUCAGUUCAGAGACACUGUAUCUUCUUCUGUCGGCUAUAUUGAGUAGGAUGGUUGGGAGUCAUGACCCGUUUAUGUACAGGCAAUACUAGUAGAGGUUUCAUAGAUAGUAAUAGUGGUUGAUGUAUUCAGUCUCCUUCUUGUAUAUGUAUAUGUGUUAGUAUAAUUGUCAUCUUAUAAUUCCAAUAUUGUAUUGAACAAAUUCUGUAUUGAAAUAUUUUUAGCUUCAUUCUCUCAGAA